UACGGGCCAGACUCCUACGGGAGGCAGCAGUGAGGAAUAUUGCGCAAUGGGCGAAAGCCUGACGCAGCAACGCCGCGUGAGGGACGAAGGCCUUCGGGUCGUAAACCUCUUUUCUGGGGAAAGAGCAAGGACGGUACCUCAGGAAUAAGUCUCGGCUAACUACGUGCCAGCAGCCGCGGUAAAACGUAGGAGGCGAGCGUUAUCCGGAUUUACUGGGCGUAAAGCGCACGCAGGCGGCUUCGUUAGUCGGGUGUGAAAGCUCCUAGCUUAACUGGGAGAGGCCACUCGAUACUGCGAGGCUUGAGGUUGGGAGAGGGGUGUGGAAUUCCCGGUGUAGUGGUGGAAUGCGUAGAUAUCGGGAGGAACACCUGUGGCGAAAGCGGCACCCUGGCCCACACCUGACGCUGAGGUGCGAAAGCGUGGGGAGUAAACAGGAUUAGAUACCCUGGUAAUCCACGCUGUAAACGAUGUCAACUGGGUGUCGGUAGCUUUACGCUAUCGGUGCCGAAGCAAACGCGUUAAGUUGACCGCCUGGGGACUACGGCCGCAAGGCUAAAACUCAAAGGAAUUGACGG
This 575-nucleotide ribosomal RNA is filed under the name uncultured bacterium. RNAcentral describes it as "bacterial SSU rRNA". It matches the Rfam family "Bacterial small subunit ribosomal RNA", at positions 325 to 916 of the family's 1533-position model. The record is from RNAcentral.